Acanthosepion pharaonis is the source of this 105-nucleotide non-coding RNA. Lineage: Eukaryota; Metazoa; Mollusca; Cephalopoda; Sepiida; Sepiidae. The record is from the annotation of a GenBank genome assembly.
ACAUCAAGUUGAAACACCAGUUCCCAUACAAUCACUGAAGUUAAGCAAUGUCAAGCCUAGUCAGUACCUAGAUGGGUGAUCAUUUGGGAAUACUUGGUGCUGUAA